UAGGAAUCUGCCCGAUAGUGGGGGAUAACGUGGGGAAACCCACGCUAAUACCGCAUACGUCCUACGGGAGAAAGCAGGGGAUCUUCGGACCUUGCGCUAUCGGAUGAGCCUAUGUCGGAUUAGCUAGUUGGUGAGGUAAUGGCUCACCAAGGCGACGAUCCGUAGCUGGUCUGAGAGGAUGAUCAGCCACACUGGGACUGAGACACGGCCCAGACUCCUACGGGAGGCAGCAGUGGGGAAUAUUGGACAAUGGGGGAAACCCUGAUCCAGCCAUGCCGCGUGUGUGAAGAAGGCCUUCGGGUUGUAAAGCACUUUCAGCGAGGAAGAAGGCCUGAGGGUUAAUACCCUUCAGGAAGGACAUCACUCGCAGAAGAAGCACCGGCUAACUCCGUGCCAGCAGCCGCGGUAAUACGGAGGGUGCGAGCGUUAAUCGGAAUUACUGGGCGUAAAGCGCGCGUAGGUGGCUUGAUAAGCCGGUUGUGAAAGCCCCGGGCUCAACCUGGGAACGGCAUCCGGAACUGUCAGGCUAGAGUGCAGGAGAGGAAGGUAGAAUUCCCGGUGUAGCGGUGAAAUGCGUAGAGAUCGGGAGGAAUACCAGUGGCGAAGGCGGCCUUCUGGACUGACACUGACACUGAGGUGCGAAAGCGUGGGUAGCAAACAGGAUUAGAUACCCUGGUAGUCCACGCCGUAAACGAUGUCGACUAGCCGUUGGGUUCCUUGAGAACUUUGUGGCGCAGUUAACGCGAUAAGUCGACCGCCUGGGGAGUACGGCCGCAAGGUUAAAACUCAAAUGAAUUGACGGGGGCCCGCACAAGCGGUGGAGCAUGUGGUUUAAUUCGAUGCAACGCGAAGAACCUUACCUACCCUUGACAUCGUGCGAACUUGGUAGAGAUACCUUGGUGCCUUCGGGAACGCACAGACAGGUGCUGCAUGGCUGUCGUCAGCUCGUGUUGUGAAAUGUUGGGUUAAGUCCCGUAACGAGCGCAACCCUUGUCCCUAUUUGCCAGCGAUUCGGUCGGGAACUCUAGGGAGACUGCCGGUGACAAACCGGAGGAAGGUGGGGACGACGUCAAGUCAUCAUGGCCCUUACGGGUAGGGCUACACACGUGCUACAAUGGUCGGUACAAAGGGUUGCAAUGCCGCGAGGUGGAGCUAAUCCCAUAAAGCCGAUCUCAGUCCGGAUCGGAGUCUGCAACUCGACUCCGUGAAGUCGGAAUCGCUAGUAAUCGUGAAUCAGAAUGUCACGGUGAAUACGUUCCCGGGCCUUGUACACACCGCCCGUCACACCA
Molecule: ribosomal RNA, 1289 nt
Filed under: Bisbaumannia salifodinae
Lineage: Bacteria; Pseudomonadati; Pseudomonadota; Gammaproteobacteria; Oceanospirillales; Halomonadaceae
Description: bacterial SSU rRNA
Rfam family: Bacterial small subunit ribosomal RNA
Source: RNAcentral